Molecule: ribosomal RNA, 3135 nt
Filed under: Serinicoccus hydrothermalis
Lineage: Bacteria; Bacillati; Actinomycetota; Actinomycetes; Micrococcales; Ornithinimicrobiaceae
Description: Serinicoccus sp. JLT9 Bacterial large subunit ribosomal RNA
Rfam family: Bacterial large subunit ribosomal RNA
Source: Rfam by way of RNAcentral
UGUUAAGUUUUUAAGAGCGCACGGUGGAUGCCUUGGCACGAGGAACCGAAGAAGGACGUAGGAAUCUGCGAUAAGCCUCGGGGAGUCGAUAACCAGACUGUGAUCCGAGGGUGUCCGAAUGGGGAAACCCGGCCAGCUUCAUCGCUGGUCACCCGCACCUGAAUGUAUAGGGUGUGUGGAGGGAACGUGGGGAAGUGAAACAUCUCAGUACCCACAGGAAGAGAAAACAACAUGUGAUUCCGUGAGUAGUGGCGAGCGAAAGCGGAUGAGGCUAAACCGUAGUUGUGUGAUACCUGGUAGGGGUUGCAGCUGCGGGGUUGUGGGAGCGUGACUGACCGGGACUACCAUCCUGGUGCGUAGUGAGAAAUCGUGUGGUGUAGGUGAAGGGUCUGGAAAGGCCUGGCGUAGACGGUGAGACCCCGGUAGCCGAAACACCCGCGACUGCGUGUUGCGCCUCCCGAGUAGUACGGGGCCCGAGAAAUCUCGUACGAAUCUGGCAGGACCACCUGCUAAGCCUAAAUAUUACCUCGUGACCGAUAGCGGACAAGUACCGUGAGGGAAAGGUGAAAAGUACCCCGGGAGGGGAGUGAAAUAGUUCCUGAAACCGUGCGCUUACAAUCCGUCGGGGCUCACACCUUGUGUGUGGGUGACGGCGUGCCUUUUGAAGAAUGAGCCUGCGAGUUAGUGCUCAGUGGCGAGGUUAACCCGUGUGGGGGAGCCGUAGCGAAAGCGAGUCCGAACAGGGCGUAUGAGUCGCUGGGUCUAGACCCGAAGCGGAGUGAUCUACCCAUGGCCAGGGUGAAGCGCGGGUAAGACCGCGUGGAGGCCCGAACCCACUUAGGUUGAAAACUGAGGGGAUGAGCUGUGGGUAGGGGUGAAAGGCCAAUCAAACUCCGUGAUAGCUGGUUCUCCCCGAAAUGCAUUUAGGUGCAGCGUCAUGUGUUUCUUGCCGGAGGUAGAGCUACUGGAUGGCUGAUGGGCCUUACCGGGUUACUGACGUCAGCCAAACUCCGAAUGCCGGUAAGUGAGAGCAUGGCAGUGAGACUGCGGGGGAUAAGCUUCGUAGUCGAGAGGGAAACAGCCCAGAUCACCAGCUAAGGUCCCUAAGCGUGUGCUAAGUGGGAAAGGAUGUGGAGUUGCGAAGACAACCAGGAGGUUGGCUUAGAAGCAGCCACCCUUGAAAGAGUGCGUAAUAGCUCACUGGUCAAGUGAUUCCGCGCCGACAAUGUAGCGGGGCUCAAGCACACCACCGAAGCUGUGGCACCAGCACUUUCGCUCAGCAUCACCCUGGGUGGUGUUCAGGCGUGCUGGUGGGUAGGGGAGCGUCGUGCCGGGAGUGAAGCAUCCGAGUGAUCGAGGUGUGGAUCCGGCACGAGUGAGAAUGCAGGCAUGAGUAGCGAAUGAAGAGUGAGAAACUCUUCCGCCGAAUCACCAAGGGUUCCAGGGUCAAGCUAAUCUGCCCUGGGUAAGUCGGGACCUAAGGCGAGGCCGACAGGCGUAGUCGAUGGACAUCCGGUUGAUAUUCCGGAACCGGCGAAGAACCGCCCAGUACCGAGGCCGGGGAUGCUGAGCGCCUGAAGCCACCCACAACCUUGACCGUUCGCGGUCGGGGGCGGGUGGUGGAACGCGUGACCCAAUCCGGUAGUAGGUAAGCGAUGGAAGGACGCAGGAAGGUAGCCUCCGCGUGGCGAUGGUUGUCCACGUCGAAGAGCGCAGGGCCGGGGAGUGGUAAGUCCGCCCCAGUAGUGCCCGAGGCUUGAUCGUGACCGCGUAUGCGGGAAGCAGGGUGAUCCUAUGCUGCCAAGAAAAGUUCCUAGCGAGGUUCGAGCCGCCCGUACCCCAAACCGACUCAGGUGGUGAGGUAGAGAAUACCGAGGCGAUCGAGUGAAUCGUGGUUAAGGAAUUCGGCAAAAUGCCCCCGUAACUUCGGGAGAAGGGGGGCCCGAGACGUGAAACCCCUUGCGGGUUAGCGUUGAGGGCCGCAGAGACCAGGGAGAAGCGACUGUUUACUAAAAACACAGGUCCGUGCGAAGUCGCAAGACGAUGUAUACGGACUGACGCCUGCCCGGUGCUGGAACGUUAAGGGGACGGGUCAACCCAUUCGUGGGUGAAGCUCUGAACUUAAGCGCCAGUAAACGGCGGUGGUAACUAUAACCAUCCUAAGGUAGCGAAAUUCCUUGUCGGGUAAGUUCCGACCUGCACGAAUGGCGUAACGACUUCUCCACUGUCUCAACCGCGAACUCGGCGAAAUUGCACUACGAGUAAAGAUGCUCGUUACGCGCAGCAGGACGGAAAGACCCCGGGACCUUUACUAUAGCUUGGUAUUGGUGUUCGGUACGGCUUGUGUAGGAUAGGUGGGAGACUGUGAAGCAGCCACGCCAGUGGUUGUGGAGUCAACGUUGAAAUACCACUCUGGUCGUUCUGGAUUCCUAACCUCGGUCCGUGAUCCGGAUCAGGGACAGUGCCUGGUGGGUAGUUUAACUGGGGCGGUUGCCUCCCAAAAAGUAACGGAGGCGCCCAAAGGUUCCCUCAGCCUGGUUGGCAAUCAGGUGUCGAGUGUAAGUGCACAAGGGAGCUUGACUGUGAGACAGACAUGUCGAGCAGAGACGAAAGUCGGGACUAGUGACCCGACGGUGGCUCGUGGAAGCGCCGUCGCUCAACGGAUAAAAGGUACCCCGGGGAUAACAGGCUGAUCCUGCCCAAGAGCUCAUAUCGACGGCAUGGUUUGGCACCUCGAUGUCGGCUCGUCGCAUCCUGGGGCUGGAGUCGGUCCCAAGGGUUGGGCUGUUCGCCCAUUAAAGCGGUACGCGAGCUGGGUUUAGAACGUCGUGAGACAGUUCGGUCCCUAUCCGCUGCGCGCGCAGGAAACUUGAGAAGAGCUGUCCCUAGUACGAGAGGACCGGGAUGGACGAACCACUGGUGUGUCAGUUGUUCCGCCAGGAGCACCGCUGAUUAGCUACGUUCGGACGUGAUAACCGCUGAAAGCAUCUAAGCGGGAAGCACACUUCAAGAUGAGGUUUCCAACACCCAUUGGGUGGAGAGGCUCCCAGCUAGACUACUGGGUUGAUAGGCCGGACGUGGAAGCACAGCAAUGUGCGUAGCUGACCGGUACUAAUAAGCCGACAACUUAACAAA